UGCCUCUGCCCUCAGAGGGCGUCCGUCCCUCAGAGCUCGCUCCCCGCGUGGCGCGGGUGCGCUGAGGGCUGCCCGCGUUGUGUGCUGUGAGGAUGGGCGUGCUCGGCGCUUUGCGCCCCAUCCGCCGUGACUGCAGGGACGCGUGUCCUACAGACAGCUCUGGGAAGCGAAGUGCAUUUGGCAAAACAGAGAUUUACCCAGGCGCUUGUGAUCAAAGUACUGGGUGCUAAAUAUCCCGCCCAUCAAAACAGAUAGAGGACCUACAUCUCGCUGCUGAAAGCCUCAAAAAUCAGCCUGUGUUGCCAGAACUGUGGAACAUCAAACUAGAAGUGCGAUUUUGAUUCGGGGUUAGGGUACUUCUGUAGUUGUUGGUGGUGUUUGUGUCUAGGACCUUGCCUCUGUGCUAUUGCAAAGCCUGGACAGCUGCUCGCCCCAGGAGUGGAGUUUUCAGCUCGGAGCCCCUUUCCAGGAGCAGAAACUUGAACGAGCCCAUUGAGUGCCUGAGUUAGCUGCAGCAGGAUUUUGAAGUGCCAGAAUCACAGAGUUUAUUAGAUUGGAAAAGACCUUUGAGAUCAUCGAGUCCAACCUUUGACCAAACACCACCUUGUCAGCUAGACCAGAGUGCCAGGUUCAGCCUUUCCAUAAACACUUCCAGAGAUGGUGACUCCACCACCUCUCUGGGCAGCCCAUUCCAAUGUUUAGGGAUCCUUUCUGUGAAGCAAUUCUUCCUUAUGUCCAACCUGAAACUCGGGAGAGGAGGCUUACCCCCACCUAGGAAGCCACAGCCUCCUUUCAGGCACUUGUAGAGAGUGUUCAGUGCCCCCUGAGCCUCCUUUUCUCCAGGUUAAACACCCCCAGCUCCCUCAGCUGCUCCCCACAGGACUUGUGCUCCAGAGCCUUCCCCAGCUUUGUUGCCCUUCUCGGGACCUGCGUCAGCACCUCAGCAUCGUUCUUGAAUUGAGGGUCCCAGAACCGGGCACAGCCCUCGAGCUGUGGCCUCCCCAGUGCCAGAGAGAGAAGACAAGGCAGCUGCUGAGCCUAUGGAGCCUAUUUUCAAACGCACAGAACAUCCCAUUAUUUUAAUCUUGCCCCACACUUUCGAAGUAGCCCGAAAAAAGCACACUCUUGCAGAAAUGGGCAAGGCUUUUGUCAAACCCAGCUCACUCAGGAGUGUGUUUUUUGUAGGGUGUGUGCAAGUCCUAGCAAAUGUUGGAGUAAUUCCGCUCAGCAGCAGGUGGCAGGCUGGUUCCACUUUUGGUCACCUGGGGCUUCCUCAGCUCAAUACAUCUUUUGUCGGUAGAUGGCACUUGUCUCGGGAUGAGAGCUGUUCGGUGGUGUUGGGAGCUGACCAGUAUCACACGGUUCAGGAAACAGCUACCGAAAUUAAAUCUCGUGUAAUUUUCAGUCAUUCAUUCCUGCCCUUGUCAAGACUUAUUACAUAGCUGUAGUGGUGCUCUGAAGAAGCCUGAAGCUAACACAAUUCAUUUUAGCACUAAUUUAUAGUACAGGAGAUACAGAAUGUUAACAGAAUGGUAUGCCGUUGGUAAAAUGCCUAAACAAAAUUAGGUUCUGAAAGAUUUAGCUGCAUAAAAAUACAGCAAAAAAUCAACACCUGUCCUGAAAAACAAUAAAAUGAAUGUUCUUCCCCAAGUAGAGAUUCUAAACCCCAUAUAUAGAAAGCUUCUUAUACACAGAGAUUUUCUUAAUGGUGCCUGUUUCUAACAUAAGAGAUUAUAGUGAGAUCAGUUGUAAAUAUUGCAUCAAUAUUUAAGUCAGUGGGAAAUGAAUUAAAGAAUUUAAUUUGAGACUUUUCAAAACACAAAUGAAAUUAAAAGCGUAGGUUGAGUAUGAACUGCUAUUGGCUACAAUAAUUACUAUGUGGUGACACAUUCACAGCAAACCAAAGAUGACUAACCUAUUUUUUGAGUUGGACUUUCUUACUCUAACAGCCCUUUUAUCUUUUAACUGCCCUUCUACAUCCACCUGCACUUGCCAAGUGACUCUACAUGCUGUAACCCAGUGUUGUAAAGCACACAAGUGACUCAUGACUUAAAUAUUUAAUUUUAAACAUUUUGUAUUUUCAUAAACUGAAUAAUAACCUUAUUUUCCCUUGUCUAAGGACAUAAAGUAUCUUCAUUCCUAUUGACAGAAUCUCUUUCUUGCCACUGAAAAUGAAAGCAGAAUUUAAUCAUUUAUAGCUGCUAGUGUCAAUCAGCCAAGUGGAGGACUGUGCUUAUAAUACAAUUGAUUAAUACAUAUUUAAUCAAUAAUACAUAACUAGGCAUUUAUCCAAACCAUGAUAGCCUAAACAUUUAAUUCUUUUAAACUGUAAUAACAUCAGAAAAGGUAGCACACAUAAAAGAUAAAAGGGAAGCAGGUUUAGAAUUGGCUUGGGAUUAUCAGAGAUAGCAGAGCUGAAUGAAUUAGUACCCUGCUAGCACACUGCAUCUCUUGCUUUUAUCUGUGACUAUGAGUAUUACUGUGCUUGCAUUUUGUGCUGAUAUCUUUAUAUUUCUCAAGUGAAUUACUCACUGACAUAAAGGGUCACAGGAGAAGGAAGCCAAACAGGCAUUGUUAACGUAUUUUAUUGCAAAAUAUGAACUGCAUUGUGCCUGUGUUUCUUCAUGAAUGCUUUUGCUGUUAAAGCUGCAUUAAUUUUCUGUGAACGAUGUGCUGCUCUCGGAAAGUCACUUCAGUCUGUCCUGUGUGACUGACCUAUCAAUGAAUCAGAAUUACAGAUCAGAAGCACACAUCAGUAUGUGAAUUUCUCAAAAAAAGGGGAAAAUGCAAAGCAAUGAAAUGUCAAUUUCACACAGCAUGGAGGUCCAUAUUUGUAUGGCAUUAUGACCCAAGGAUGUAAUGUACAGAGAAUAAGUGAAUUUUUCAUGUGGGUUUCAUUUGCUCUAAACUGAUGGAAGAUGUACUUAAAAAAAAUAUAUAUACACCAUCCCUUGUUCCUGUCAUAAUAGGAAAUGAUUGAUGCUCAGGAAAGAAGUUACAAAUUGGGUCAUUUCAGCUUUUCUAAGAUAUCAUCUCAUGUUUUUUCAGAAGCAUGAAUAUUUCCAGAUGGAGAUGAGGGCUGUGUUAAUGGAAAGGACAAUUUACUUAUACAUUCACAUAACCUUUUCAUUAUGAAGAUUGGCAGAUGUGGAAAAGCUUGGCCUCAUUUCCUGGCCAAAACAGCAUCACCCUGCUGUUUACACUCUACCUGAGAGAAGAAUGCAAAUGUUGACACUAUUAAUGUUCACAACUUAAUUCCUUGUUGAAGUCAGAUGGAAAAAAUAUAACACUCUAAGGUAAAAAAAUUAUAAAGCUGUUUGGCAUCAAAGGGGAAUUCAGCCUUUCAUUUUAGCAUGGAAGCACAACAGGCAAGUCUGUCUCCAAGCAGACCAAACACUGUCCUUGUAAUCAUGAGCAGGCAUCCCCACAUGACAGCAAGGAAAAGGCUUACAGGGCUGAAAAUAGCAAGAGGAGCGGCUGAACUUGGAAAUCUGAGUUCAAAUGUGUCCUACUUCUGUGUUUUCUCAUCCUGCUAAAGAAAGAGUGUUCUUCAGAGGUGACAUGGUUUUGUCUGCAAAGAUAUACAGAAACUGCAAGACAAUUAGGAAGGAAAUAACCAACUGCUGCUGCUUGCUCCAAAUAUAAAGAUCUGUGCCUCAGAUUUUACAUACUCUCAUAGUGCUUGGGAAUGGAGUGUGCACGGAAGCAAGGAGAAUCCAGCAUCUCUCUGUGUGCUCUGCUCUAAAAGGCAUGUAGGCAAUGCUCUAUCCUUUUUACACAUCAAUCAUAGAGGCAGUAAAUCUCUCCUCAAAUCCCAGAAUUUCUACUACUUCAUGCCCAAGUGAGGUUUUAUUCAGCAACAGAGGGGCUGGAAUAAGAAGAUCCUUACAAGAAUUCAUAUACUCCCACAUACAGGGGAGAAAAGGAGCACCAGACAAGCAGACAGCUCCUGGCAGAUGGGAGCAAGAAUGGAGGUAAGCAUGGGGAAGUCACUGGAGGGAGCUGGGGACUGGGAAGGCAAAAAUAUUAGGUAGUACCAGUGGUCAGGUAGGAAGAGGAUCUCCAGGCUGUGGUGGGAAAAGAAGGAAUGAAAGGAUCCAGAAGAAAGAGAAAAUUCAGGAAAAAGGAUCUCUAGGCAGCAGGGGGGCAUGUCCCAAUUUUGCCAUGACAUUGGACUUACUUGCAUCCUUUGGCAACAAAAGCAGCUGUCCCCUGGAGAUACAUGCCCCCAGCAGGCACUAGUUCAGUCUUUGCCAUACAUAAAAUCUUGAAGUGUUAAAUGAGUGUUAAACUUCAUUCUUCCUCUCCUUCCAUCAAAAUCCUCACUCCAAGCAUAAAGCCCAUGUGUUUUACUCUGAUGUGCUGAGCUUAACAGGGAGGCCUGAAACCAGGCAGAGGUGAUGGUUAUUACACACAGACAUGCCCCCCAAUAUAUAGGUGUGGGGAAAGACCACAGACAGCUGGGAACACAACCUUUUACGUCUUUAUUUGCCAGUUAAGAUCCUUUUAUUCCAUCAAUGCAAGUAUGCAGAACAGCAGGAAACCAUGUUUUAAGCAGCACAUACCAGUUGGCUGAGAAUAAACUAACUACAUUCCCCAAGCAAUGUAAAAGUAACAAUGCACAUCAUCUUCUAAAAGAAGAGACAAACAGAUGUUGCAGCCGAGAGGCACAGCAGGCAGCUUCCGUACAAAGUAGUUUGGCUGUUUAAAAUGCUAGAACCAGCCCUUGCCCAUUUCUCCAACCCCACCCCCAAAAGUCCUGGUAUAAUUUAACCACCUUUUUUUUUGCUAUCUACAUAAUAUAUAAAAUAUAAACUCUGUUUACUUAUAACACUUAGUUUUCUUGAUAAAUAGCUCUUUAAAAUAUCUACUGUACAUAUGUCCAUGCGUUGACAUUAUAUAUAUAUAUAUAUAGCAUUUAUAUAUAUGUAUGUAUGUCUGAAAAACAAUAAAUAUAUACUUAAUAUUGACACAGCAACAAACUGAACAUUUUCUCAAUUUCAAAAUCAAAUAAAAGCAAACCAGUGGGAGAGCAACAGUGAGUGCUGCUCCUGAAGCACAGCACAGCAGGGAGCUUUGAUUCCUGCCCUGGCGGGGCACUCGGAAUGCCCCGAACUCGAGCAGUUGUGGUGGUCACCUAUCCUGUAAUGUACUGUAUUAGAAGUCACUUCAGGUUGUAGUUAGCCACCCUGAAUGCCAUGUGUAACACAGACUGAGCAGGAGCUCAGUGGGUAGCGAGGGAGGCUCACCUCCAGGUUUGCAAUGGAAUGAGAAACAAAGAGGGCAGGGAAGUGAGUCCAAUGGCUGAUAUAAAAAAAAAGGAAAACAAAUAAUGGACAGCACAUGGCUGGAAGGUCAUAAAUAACCAAGGUAAACAAGUCAAUAGAGCUAAGUGCUUUUAAAGACAAUGGCUGGCAUUGCUGCAAAAAGUGUCUUGAUGAUCUGUUGCCAACUCCAUGGAAUGAAUCAGUUUUCCCACUGCCACAAGAAGACACAAAGGAAACUCAGAAGGCCAAAUUCAGAUGUUAAAAAUGGGGUCACUGUAAGAUACUGUGAGGGUCCAGCUUCAGAGCUGAACCUGCCCAAAGGCAGCUGAAGUCACUGAACAUCCUUAAACCAAAUGGAUGAGAUUUUUAAAGUAUGGAUUAAAAAAAAACAAAACAAAACAACCCCCCC
This is a long non-coding RNA of Passer domesticus (house sparrow), 5676 nucleotides long. RefSeq lists it as uncharacterized. Lineage: Eukaryota; Metazoa; Chordata; Aves; Passeriformes; Passeridae. The transcript has 2 exons. The record is from RefSeq and is a predicted model, not a curated record.